This 355-nucleotide unclassified non-coding RNA is filed under the name Ixodes scapularis (black-legged tick). RNAcentral describes it as "uncharacterized LOC115322281, transcript variant X2". The record is from RNAcentral. Lineage: Eukaryota; Metazoa; Arthropoda; Arachnida; Ixodida; Ixodidae.
CAGAUUGUAGAACUCGUCAUGGCAACUGCCAUUUCAGAUGACCAAGUGUCAUAUCUGGCACUCUUGAUCAGUGAUUACAUCUGUGAGAGGGCUCUACAAGUUGAUGGAAUUGGAAGUGGAAGAGCUACAGUUGUUGUCUUCCUCUCAGCUGAUGGACAUACAUGCAUAUGUCCCGUACAGACUCCUCAACUGUCUUGUGAUCAGGCUGCGGAGUUCACUAUUGUUCGACGAUUUUGAAGAUGAUAGUCAAGAUCUGGAGCCUUGAUAAAACAAUAAAGAAACUGGCAGUGGUUGCCACUUUCGACGCCAUAAAGAAAAAGGCCAUAGAGUUCGGUAUAUGCUGCAAUGGAGACAU